Molecule: ribosomal RNA, 602 nt
Filed under: uncultured organism
Description: bacterial SSU rRNA
Rfam family: Bacterial small subunit ribosomal RNA
Source: RNAcentral
CAGGCGACGACCGGCGGACGGGUGAGUACACGUAUGCAAUUUGCCUUUAACUGGAGGAUAGCGUUCGGGAAACCGUAAUUAAUACUCCAUAGUAUNCAAAAGACGCAUGUNUUUUGAAUUAAAGCUCCGGCGGCUAAAGAUAAGCAUGCGGGACAUUAGCUAGUUGGUAAGGUAACGGCUUACCAAGGCGACGAUGUCUAGGGGGUUUGAGAGGAUGAUCCCCCACACUGGUACUGAGACACGGACCAGACUCCUACGGGAGGCAGCAGUGAGGAAUAUUGGGCAAUGGGCGCAAGCCUGACCCAGCCAUGCCGCGUGCAGGAUGAAGGUCCUAUGGAUCGUAAACUGCUUUUGUAUGGGAAGAACUUCCCGCAUUCGUGCGGGAUUGACGGUACUAUACGAAUAAGGACCGGCUAACUCCGUGCCAGCAGCCGCGGUAAUACGGAGGGUCCAAGCGUUAUCCGGAUUCACUGGGUUUAAAGGGUGCGUAGGUGGAACGAUAAGUCGAUGGUGAAAGCCUACAGCUUAACUGUAGAAUUGCCAUUGAUACUGUUGUACUUGAGUAUAGUCGGAGGAAGUGGAAUGCGUACUGUAGCGGUGAA